GAUGAACGCUGGCGGCGUGCCUAAUACAUGCAAGUCGAGCGAACGGACGAGAAGCUUGCUUCUCUGAUGUUAGCGGCGGACGGGUGAGUAACACGUGGAUAACCUACCUAUAAGACUGGGAUAACUUCGGGAAACCGUAGCUAAUACCGGAUAAUAUUUUGAACCGCAUGGUUCAAAAGUGAAAGACGGUCUUGCUGUCACUUAUAGAUGGAUCCGCGCUGCAUUAGCUAGUUGGUAAGGUAACGGCUUACCAAGGCAACGAUGCAUAGCCGACCUGAGAGGGUGAUCGGCCACACUGGAACUGAGACACGGUCCAGACUCCUACGGGAGGCAGCAGUAGGGAAUCUUCCGCAAUGGGCGAAAGACUGACGGAGCAACGCCGCGUGAGUGAUGAAGGUCUUCGGAUCGUAAAACUCUGUUAUUAGGGAAGAACAUAUGUGUAAGUAACUGUGCACAUCUUGACGGUACCUAAUCAGAAAGCCACGGCUAACUACGUG
Molecule: ribosomal RNA, 497 nt
Filed under: uncultured bacterium
Lineage: Bacteria
Description: partial 16S ribosomal RNA
Rfam family: Bacterial small subunit ribosomal RNA
Source: RNAcentral